RNAcentral lists this ribosomal RNA (87 nucleotides) under uncultured bacterium. RNAcentral's name for it is "partial 16S ribosomal RNA". The record is from RNAcentral.
CUCCUGUCACUGCAGAACAAGGGUACGCCAGUUAACAGCCGGCGUAUUUGAUGGUAUGCGGAGAGGAAGGGACGGCUAACUCUGUGC